This 200-nucleotide ribosomal RNA is filed under the name uncultured bacterium. RNAcentral's name for it is "partial 16S ribosomal RNA". It matches the Rfam family "Bacterial small subunit ribosomal RNA", at positions 28 to 173 of the family's 1533-position model. The record is from RNAcentral.
GAUGAACGCUGGCCGCGUGCCUAAUACAUGCAAGUCGGGCGGCAGCGAGUUUUGCACUAUUUGCUUGAGAGAUGAGAUUUAUUUCAUCAUUACCUCGAGUGAGUGGUGCAGAAUGUCGGCGAGCGGCGGACGGCUGAGUAACGCGUGGGAACGUGCCCCAAAGUGAGGAAUAACUGCCCGAAAGGGUAGCUAAUGCCGCA